This is a non-coding RNA of Monodelphis domestica (gray short-tailed opossum), 1966 nucleotides long. The record is from RefSeq and is a predicted model, not a curated record. Lineage: Eukaryota; Metazoa; Chordata; Mammalia; Didelphimorphia; Didelphidae.
GACGGCAGCCGGGUGACGCUACUCAUCUACUACCCCUUCCCCUAGGAGUCGCCAGUAAAAAAAACAAACAAACAAAAACAAACAAACAAACAAACAGCCGAACUCUUUUCACUGAGGACCGGUCUGAGGCGGAACGUCGCAACCACUCGGACCCUUCCUCUGCCCACGCACAGGUGCCAACUCUUAGAAGGAGGACCGAUGGCCCAAAUUCUUUUGAGCCCCCAAUUUUAACCUUGAUCGAGCAUUUCGACCUGAAUCAGAUGACCUAAUGUAUGGAAAGCGUCUUGCCAACUUGAAAGUUCUAUUUAUAAAAUAACAAGAGUUAACGUUGCGAGUAACCUCGGCUUAUAAAUGGAGCCUCCAGCCAGCCGGAUAACUCCCUGAUAGUAUACUUAUAGAAUUAUAUACAUCUAUUUCAAGAUACAUCACCCUGCAUUUAAAAAUCAUAAAUAUGUGUCAGUGGACUGCUCAGAUGUCUAUGAACAUAUAGAGAAGUUUCCGGGGUUAUAUAGAAAACACCUACCAAGAUAUUACUCACCUUCACAUAUUUGUAUUUUCAAGACAGACUAGCCUCCUUCGCUGCCCUCACAACUCGGUAUUCUACCUCCUUUCUUCGAGGCCUUGGCAAUAAGCAGCCCCACUUUGCCUGGAAUCUUGCUCCUGCCUCAUUUCAUCUCCUGGGGGCCCCCAGUUUCCUUCAGGCUCAGCUCAGGGGCCACCUUCUCCAGGAAAACGAGUUCUCAUCCGCUGGUCGUUAGGGAGCCCUUCUUCCUUCCCAACUGCAACAUUUGCAAUUACCUGUUUAUAGGCACCCAGGUAGAAUGUAAGCUCUAGGAGGGCAGGUCGAGGUUUCGUGGUGGAACACCGUAGGGGCUCCAUAAAGCUUGUUGGAUUGGAGCUUUAGGGUGUAUCCAGGGAACAACGACCCCUCACUCAUCCCGGAACCUGCCUAGCAUCAAGAGAUUUCUCCCUAGGGGCCCUCCAAUGCAUUUCACUCAAUAGAGCAAGUGGGAGAGGGAAGUCAGCAGCCAAGACUGUCCCUGCCCUCCCUGAGAAGUUCCGUGCUGAAACCUUGUCCUAAGAGGAGAAUUCUGGGAGUUGCUUUCCUUUUCCUUCCUCCCACCUGCUAAUACAGAAGGAUUUUCAGGCUUCAACAGAUUUCCAAAGGCUUGAUCCAAGACACACACAAAAAGGCUAAAACCCCCUAUUCUAAGACUAUUAUAAAUGACUGACCGGCAUUGCUGGGGGAUUUUCUUCAUCUUAAAUCUAAGCAGAGCAAGGUCCAGCCCCUAUUCCCUAUCCAAAAAAGCUAGCAGGAGGUAGCUUAAUGUGAAAGCUUAAUAGUAAAAGAAGCAGCUUAAGAAGGUGAUGGGAACUACUGUCUAGGUAGGCAGAAGAGGGGCAAGAAGCUCACAAAGACUGGAGAAGGAAGGACCUCUGGGAACUCUCAUGGAAUGCGAAGUGGAAGAAGAAGUCAGAAGAUUUCAAAUUGGAGGAUGAAGCCAUCAAAGGGGCUGAGGUGGUGGUUUUCUUCCCAUUGGACUGAGAAGCUGGAGCCAGACUCAGUCAAAUUGAUUGAGCCCAACAUAGGGGAAAGGAGUAGGGGCUUAAUUAGUUGGAAGGAGACAGUGAAAAGGGAAGGUGUUUCAGAGAAAAGAAUGACAAGAGUUUGGGAAGAGAUUGGAAGCGAAAAGAAGGAAAUAAAAAUGUUUAUUAGGGUCUCUUUCAGUGCUCAAGCAGCAGAACGAGGAGAAGUUAAGAAGAAUAAUUCUAAAGCAUAUAUAAAAGUUUCAUUUUUGGUUUCUCUAGAAAUACUAUUUCUAAAACCCUUUCUAAGCUUUUCCCUUUAGGAAAGAGGGCAUUACAAAAUCUAGUAACUUUCCUUAGGAAAUGGGUUAAAGAUGACCAAAUUAGGCAAUCAAAUUUAACUCAUCUGGAUAAGAUUAAAGCUUUUCCCAACCUUGAA